AGAGUUUGAUCCUGGCUCAGGACGAACGCUGGCGGCGUGCCUAACACAUGCAAGUCAGGGGGAAAGCUGGCUUCGGCCAGUGAGUACACCGGCGGACGGGUGAGUAACGCGUGAGCAACCUACCCCGCAGACCGGGAUAACCCAUCGAAAGGUGGGCUAAUACUGGAUGAGCGCACGUGCUGCAUGGCAUGUGUGAAAAGGCAGGCAUUAAGCUUGCGCUGCGGGAUGGGCUCGCGUCCCAUUAGCUAGUUGGUGAGGUAACGGCUCACCAAGGCUACGAUGGGUAGCCGGCCUGAGAGGGUGGUCGGCCACAUUGGGACUGAGACACGGCCCAGACUCCUACGGGAGGCAGCAGUGGGGAAUAUUGCGCAAUGCCGGAAACGGUGACGCAGCGACGCCGCGUGGGCGAGGAAGGCCUUCGGGUUGUAAAGCCCUUUCAGUGGGGAAGAAAGGUCCAGGCAGUAACUGGUUUGGAUUUGACGUACCCACAGAAGAAGCCC
This 500-nucleotide ribosomal RNA is filed under the name uncultured Deferribacteres bacterium. RNAcentral describes it as "bacterial SSU rRNA". It matches the Rfam family "Bacterial small subunit ribosomal RNA", at positions 8 to 493 of the family's 1533-position model. The record is from RNAcentral. Lineage: Bacteria; Pseudomonadati; Deferribacterota; Deferribacteres.